RNAcentral lists this ribosomal RNA (429 nucleotides) under bacterium. Its description in RNAcentral is "partial 16S ribosomal RNA". It matches the Rfam family "Bacterial small subunit ribosomal RNA", at positions 355 to 776 of the family's 1533-position model. The record is from RNAcentral.
UAGGGAAUCUUCCACAAUGGACGCAAGUCUGAUGGAGCAACGCCGCGUGAGUGAAGAAGGUUUUCGGAUCGUAAUGCUCUGUUGUUGGUGAAGAAGGAUAGAGGCAGUAACUGGUCUUUAUUUGACGGUAAUCAACCAGAAAGUCACGGCUAACUACGUGCCAGCAGCCGCGGUAAUACGUAGGUGGCAAGCGUUGUCCGGAUUUAUUGGGCGUAAAGCGAGCGCAGGCGGAAUGAUAAGUCUGAUGUGAAAGCCCACGGCUCAACCGUGGAACUGCAUCGGAAACUGUCAUUCUUGAGUGCAGAAGAGGAGAGUGGAAUUCCAUGUGUAGCGGUGGAAUGCGUAGAUAUAUGGAAGAACACCAGUGGCGAAGGCGGCUCUCUGGUCUGCAACUGACGCUGAGGCUCGAAAGCAUGGGUAGCGAACAGG